RNAcentral lists this transfer RNA (70 nucleotides) under Loxodonta africana (African savanna elephant). It matches the Rfam family "tRNA". Rfam says of the family: Transfer RNA (tRNA) molecules are approximately 80 nucleotides in length. Their secondary structure includes four short double-helical elements and three loops (D, anti-codon, and T loops). Further hydrogen bonds mediate the characteristic L-shaped molecular structure. tRNAs have two regions of fundamental functional importance: the anti-codon, which is responsible for specific mRNA codon recognition, and the 3' end, to which the tRNAs corresponding amino acid is attached (by aminoacyl-tRNA synthetases). tRNAs cope with the degeneracy of the genetic code in two manners: having more than one tRNA (with a specific anti-codon) for a particular amino acid; and 'wobble' base-pairing, i.e. permitting non-standard base-pairing at the 3rd anti-codon position. Lineage: Eukaryota; Metazoa; Chordata; Mammalia; Proboscidea; Elephantidae. The record is from Rfam by way of RNAcentral.
GCAUUGGUGGUUCAGUGGUAGAGUUCUCACUUUCAUGCAGAAGACCUGGGUUCCAGUGCCAGCCAAUGCG